This 81-nucleotide non-coding RNA is filed under the name unclassified sequences. The record is from Rfam.
UACACCCGCAAGGCCGACGCAUAACGCGCCGCUGGUGCAAGUCCAGCCGCCCCCACCGGGGCGGGCGCUCAUGGGUAACAC